Molecule: long non-coding RNA, 242 nt
Filed under: Elaeis guineensis (African oil palm)
Lineage: Eukaryota; Viridiplantae; Streptophyta; Magnoliopsida; Arecales; Arecaceae
Description: long non-coding RNA (EGUI_LNC060826)
Source: RNAcentral
AAAAUGGAUUAAAAACUAGCCGUUGUGAAAAAAUCCUAUCACAGGGGUCGACUCAUGAGUCGACUCAUGCCUGGGGGUCGACUCAUGGGUCGACCUCUGUGGAAAAUCAUCACAGAAUCGAACGGGAUCCAAGGUUCUGUAAAAUUGGCUUAAAACCCGUAGAGGUCAACUCAUGAGUCGACUCAUGCCUUGGGGGUUGACUCAUGGGUCGACUCACAGGUUGUGCCAAGUCUGUGUCGGCC